Molecule: long non-coding RNA, 665 nt
Organism: Ornithodoros turicata
Lineage: Eukaryota; Metazoa; Arthropoda; Arachnida; Ixodida; Argasidae
Exons: 2
Source: RefSeq, a predicted model, not a curated record
CAAGAUGAACGAUGGAGCGAAGAGCUUUCAAUCUGCCGGAGGGAGCAUGAAACACGUUAUCCUCAGGAUAUCCCGCGUUCAUCUUGAGUGUCAGACUUCCCGGAGUGCGACCAAAAGACAAAAAUGUGGAUAGGGAUAAGGGAACAGAAAAGGGUUGAUUCAAAAUUGGAGGCGGAGAAGGAUAGUGGUCGGACAGGUGGGAGACGAAUUUCGUGAGGAUUGUUUCAGUACGCCGCGACGGACUAAAAAGGGAGUUCCAACCGGAUGGACGGAAUUAUCUUCUUCUUCUGCCCCGAGCUCCGUAACCCCACCGAAAUGAUCAUCAUCGACAGAAUGGUCAUCGUUAGUUUGGACUUGAUUGAAAUUCACGAGGUACUCAGGUGGGCUCCGUAUGAAUGAAAAGGCCAAGAUGAUUCUGGUCUCACUUUCUUUCUUGUUCUACGUGGUUGUCCCACUGUUAUGGAACCGCAUUGGCCGACUUUUCCGCAAGCGCAAUGCCGACCCGAGAAACAAGUCACAGUGAAGUAUACUCAGGAGGCAAACUAGAACGAAUGAAGAACGUCAUUAGAAUACUAAACCAGAUGCAAGGCCAGAAGCCACUGGAAAUGUAACAGAGAAAUGUGCUCUCACGUGGUUCACACAUAAAAAUGGGCUCUUCAAUACAA